GGAGUUUGAAGUGCAUUAAUGAACUCAUAUGGUGAAUAUCUUGGAGAAAGCACACUGUCAGAAAGUGUUUUAGUCUUAUCUUAUUCUGACGCAGUUUUGAGAUGUUAGAUUUCCUGUGCUCUUAAUUUGGCGAUCUAGUCUAAGACGUCAUUUCCUGGUUGUAGCGUUUCUGCGUAAUAUGGGCUCUUGUGUAAACAGCAUUGUGUGCGUUCCUGACUCAAAUGUAAGUAUACGUCGAAUAUAGCACGGUUAUUAAUGCUAAAAUGCCUAUAAUGUGUUCGAUGUAGCCUUAAACGAGUGUUUGUUUGCAACAAUGUUUGUGCUUGACGACAUAAUUCGCCAGCUCAACUUUCGCCCUGUUAAUACUUCUUGUUACACAGUAGUUACCCUAUCCUACCACUAGAGGGCGACACAGACCACGUUUAAAUCAACAGUGCUUAUUCUCCAUUCAUCUCUUAUGGACUGCUUUAAUAGUCCAUGUAUAUUUGUUUUAUAACACAUUGUAGAGUAUAUUAUAUUAUAUAUAAUAUUAUACAUAUCCUGUUGUAUUAUUGCCUAAAUGUAUCCUAAUCAUUAUUUGUAUGUGUUCCCUUUAGACCCCACACACACCUAUACUACAAUUGUUCAACUUCAUCAUUAAAGAGUGCCUGAAAGCCUCUCUGUGCCCUACUCUCUGACCGGAGUCCUUGUCCUAAGAAGAUAUCAGACCAGCAUUCCGCAUCCAGAGUAACCUACUCUAUCACACACACCAUCACUUGAAGAAGGAGGAAUAUAAAACUGCUUCGGCUUCUCCAAGUUAGGAGUGCCACUUGUUGGACUUGACCUCCUCCAGGAACUGCAGUUCUGUAUGACCACGCUCGCUUGUAAUAAAGCAACUUUUUGUUCA
This is a non-coding RNA of Nerophis lumbriciformis (worm pipefish), 886 nucleotides long. Lineage: Eukaryota; Metazoa; Chordata; Actinopteri; Syngnathiformes; Syngnathidae. The record is from RefSeq and is a predicted model, not a curated record.